This 256-nucleotide ribosomal RNA is filed under the name uncultured bacterium. RNAcentral's name for it is "partial 16S ribosomal RNA". It matches the Rfam family "Bacterial small subunit ribosomal RNA", at positions 524 to 777 of the family's 1533-position model. The record is from RNAcentral.
UACGGGGGGAGCAAGCGUUGGUUCGGAUUUACUGGGCGUAAAGGGCGCGUAGGCGGACGUGACAAGUCACUUGUGAAAUCUCCGGGCUUAACUCGGAACGGUCAAGUGAUACUGUCGUGCUAGAGUACAGAAUGGGCAACUGGAAUUCUCGGUGUAGCGGUGAAAUGCGUAGAUAUCGAGAGGAACACCUGCGGCGAAGGCGGGUUGCUGGGCUGAUACUGACGCUGAGGCGCGAAAGCUAGGGGAGCGAAACGGG